GAGCAGGACGCUAGUCCCCGGGGGGCUCUGCUCCUGCACGCUGAUGGCCAACACCGAGCUGUAGCCGCAGAUGUCCGGCACGGCUGAGCACCCCUGCACGCUGCCCAGUGGGAUGAGAUCCUGCCCCCAGACCCGUCCCUGAGCCUCCAGCACCUUCAGGCGUGCCAGGCAGUCAUCGGUGCUGCGGAUGUCCCUCUCCAGGCGCACCGUGAGCAGCUGUUGGACCGUCGGAGCAGGGAGCUGUUGUCAUAUUCACUCCUGGAUGGACGGACGGAAGGAAGGAAGGACAGACCUUUGCACCCUGCAGCAUGAUCCUCUCUCCCCACCCAGCCCUCGGGGGUCCCCAAGGUUUUUGGGGCCAAACUGGCCCCACCACAGAGGGACCCCAGCACCCCGCACCCCAGAGCAUCACACGGAGCAGGCAGUGACACCCUUUGGGAGUAUUCAGGGACCGUCGGUGGACAGGUACGAGCAGAA
This is a long non-coding RNA of Harpia harpyja (harpy eagle), 477 nucleotides long. RefSeq lists it as uncharacterized. The record is from RefSeq and is a predicted model, not a curated record. NCBI's taxonomy places the organism in Eukaryota, Metazoa, Chordata, Aves, Accipitriformes, Accipitridae. The transcript is spliced from 4 exons.